AACAACGCGAUGUGACUAUGGAGCAAAAAUUGAAGACACGCCACCCAAAUGACGUUGACACGUCGCCCUAAUGAUGGUGGCAUGCUGCCCAAGCGGUAGCGCAUGGUGCUAAAGAGGGCAGCAUGCACAGCCCAAGGCACCACACAUUACCCUAGCCUGUCAUGUGCCACAAGCCUAGCUUACUGCGCACACAGGCCUACCGUGCGUAUGGCGCGCACGCAGCCAUGCGCCCAUCUGCACGCGAUUGGACGCGCACACAAAUCGCACCUCGUGCCCCGAGUAGAUAGAACAUGCGCAUAGUGCGCACGUCCUGUGCUGGCCACGCGUGCAUGUUACGCGGAGGUUGCGAGGGCGUUCUCGCAGGAUUUUAUGCCGUUUUUCUUCGUUUUUCUCUGAAAUUUUUUUAUUUAA
This 411-nucleotide long non-coding RNA is filed under the name Carica papaya (papaya). RNAcentral's name for it is "long non-coding RNA (CPAP_LNC005815)". Lineage: Eukaryota; Viridiplantae; Streptophyta; Magnoliopsida; Brassicales; Caricaceae. The record is from RNAcentral.